Brachypodium distachyon (stiff brome) is the source of this 125-nucleotide non-coding RNA. Lineage: Eukaryota; Viridiplantae; Streptophyta; Magnoliopsida; Poales; Poaceae. The record is from Rfam.
GGUAUACUCCCUCCGUUCCAUAAUUCUUGUCGAUAUAUUACAUGUAUCUAGACGCUUUUUAAGAAUAGAUACAUCCACUUUUUGGCAAAUUUGAGACAAGAAUUAUGGAACGGAGGGAGUACUUU